CAGAGUCACUGCUAUCRGCUGUGUCGACUAAGCCAUGCGAGUCAAAUGUUCUUCGUGAACAUGGCGUACUGCUCAGUAACACGUGGACAACSUGCCCUAAGGUCUGGCAUAACUCCGGGAAACUGGGGAUAAUUCCAGAUAAACCAUGGAUACUGGAAUGUACUGUGGUUAAAAGCUCCGGUGCCUUAGGAUGGAUCUGCGGCCUAUCAGGUAGUAGUGGGUGUAAUGUACCUACUAGCCUACGACGGGUACGGGUUGUGAGAGCAAGAGCCCGGAGAUGGAUUCUGAGACAUGAAUCCAGGCCCUACGGGGCGCAGCAGGCGCGAAAACUUUACAAUGCGGGAAACCGCGAUAAGGGGACACUGAGUGCCAGCACCAUGUGCUGGCUGUCCGCAUGUAUAAAUCACAUGUGUCAGCAAGGGCCGGGCAAGACCGGUGCCAGCCGCCGCGGUAACACCGGCGGCCCGAGUGGUGGCCAUUAUUAUUGGGUCUAAAGGGUCCGUAGCCGGUUUGAUCAGUCUUCCGGGAAAUCUGACAGCUCAACUGUUAGGCUUCUGGGGGAUACUGUCAGACUUGGAACCGGGAGAGGUAAGAGGUACUACAGGGGUAGGAGUGAAAUCUUGUAAUCCUUGUGGGACCACCAGUGGCGAAGGCGUCUUACCAGAACGGGUUCGACGGUGAGGGACGAAAGCUGGGGGCACGAACCGGAUUAGAUACCCGGGUAGUCCCAGCCGUAAACGAUGCUCGCUAGGUGUCUGGGAUGGUGCGACCGUUUCAGGUGCCGCAGGRAAGCCGUGAAGCGAGCCACCUGGGAAGUACGGCCGCAAGGCUGAAACUUAAAGGAAUUGGCGGGRGGAGCACKAMMWCGGSYSSAGCCUGCGGUUUAUUG
RNAcentral lists this ribosomal RNA (889 nucleotides) under uncultured Methanolobus sp. RNAcentral's name for it is "bacterial SSU rRNA". It matches the Rfam family "Archaeal small subunit ribosomal RNA", at positions 18 to 907 of the family's 1478-position model. Lineage: Archaea; Methanobacteriati; Methanobacteriota; Methanomicrobia; Methanosarcinales; Methanosarcinaceae. The record is from RNAcentral.